CCUACGGGAGGCAGCAGUGGGGGAUAUUGCACAAUGGGGGAAACCCUGAUGCAGCGACGCCGCGUGUGGGAAGACGGUCCUCUGGAUUGUAAACCACUGUCCCCAGGGACGAAGACGACGGUACCCCUUGAAUAAGCCACGGCUAACUACGUGCCAGCAGCCGCGGUAAUACGUAGGUGGCAAGCGUUGUCCGGAUUUACUGGGUGUAAAGGGCGUGCAGCCGGAGAGACAAGUCAGAUGUGAAAUCCACGGGCUCAACCCGUGAACUGCAUUUGAAACUGUUUCCCUUGAGUGUCGGAGAGGUAAUCGGAAUUCCUUGUGUAGCGGUGAAAUGCGUAGAUAUAAGGAAGAACACCAGUGGCGAAGGCAGAUUACUGGACGAUAACUGACGGUGAGGCGCGAAAGCGUGGGGAGCAAACAGGAUUAGAUACCCCAGUAGUC
RNAcentral lists this ribosomal RNA (441 nucleotides) under uncultured bacterium. RNAcentral's name for it is "partial 16S ribosomal RNA". It matches the Rfam family "Bacterial small subunit ribosomal RNA", at positions 338 to 795 of the family's 1533-position model. The record is from RNAcentral.